Molecule: long non-coding RNA, 1997 nt
Organism: Scylla paramamosain (green mud crab)
Lineage: Eukaryota; Metazoa; Arthropoda; Malacostraca; Decapoda; Portunidae
Exons: 4
Source: RefSeq, a predicted model, not a curated record
GUGCAGGCAACCCCAACCAGUCUUAGCCUAACCUUCCUUCUGGGCACACGUACCACCACCAUCACCACCGCCACCACCACCACCACUACUACUACUACUACUACUUCUUUUACUAUUCUAUCUCUCUCUCAUGGCUCGUUCUUCUCUCCGGCUCCUCGUCCUCCUCCUGCACCUCCUCCUCCUACAGACACUGACGGAGGCGCUGAUGGGGGGGGAGACGAGCCGGCUAAUCCAGUUCACCCAAGCGAAUUUACCAGAAUUUGUCUCGUUUGUGAAAAGAGAUUUAAUUCCUUUUUCUUCCUCUUCUUCUUCUUCUUCUUCCUCUUCUUCUUCCUCCUCUUCUUCUUCCUCUUCAUCAGCUGUUGUUUUGUCAAGGAAGAAGAGAUAUUUAGCUUUACCUGUUGGCUCCAAUAUUGAGAUUAAAUGGUCCAUGAAUUUUCCUUUCAACACCUUUACGUUGUACGAGGCGGCUGCAGCUCUCGCCAUUCCCAUUAAAAUUCCCAUUCCUGAUUCCCUGGUGCUGGAAGAAGAGCAAGUUUUUAAAAGAUCGAUCUCACAGUACGCCGGGGCAAGACGGGCCAACCUGGACGCGAUCAGGAAGGGCGAGGACAGGAGAGAGAAGAUUUACGUAUAUAAUUAUUUUGAAAGCGCAUUUGGGAAGGCUGGCAUGGCGGGGCGUAGCUGUGUCCUACGUGCCAUCUGUGAAGUGGCAGAGGCGCCCUUCGAUCAGGGGCUGCUGGGAGAACUUGUCAAUACCAUGCUGACACCCUCUCUCGCUGGGAAACCGACGGAGGAGGAGGCGUGGAUGAAUUACACGGAUUAUCUCGAAGCAGAAGUCCACGGUAGGGUUGUAGGCAGGUGUGGGCACAGGUAUGUAGGAUGUGGUAUCUCCCCUUUUGAUCUUCUGUACGAGGCUGUCCAUAUGCUGGCGAAGUGAGAGGGAGUGGGGGAGAGAGAGAGAGGGAGUGGGUAACAGUGAGAGGGCGUGGGAGAGAGAGAGGGAGUGGGUAAGAGCGAGAGGGCGUGGGAGGAAGUGGGGUGACUAAUGUAAUUUAUUUGUUUGUUUGUUUGUUUGUUUGUUUGUUUGUUUGUUUGUUUGUUUGUUUGUUUGUUUGUUUGUUUGUUUGUGUGUGUAGUAGUUACUUGUAUUACUUAAAUUACUUAUGUUACCUUGUAAGUAUAUUUAUUUCGUAAGUAAUCUUAAGUAAUUUAUUGUAAGUGUAGAGAGAGAGAGAGAGAGAGAGAGAGAGAGAGAGAGAGAGAGAGAGAGAGAGAGAGAGAGAGAAUUAUUAUUGUUAUUAUUAUUGUUAUUAUUAUUUUUAUCAUUAUUAUUCCUGUACUAUUAGAUUUAUUGUUCUAUUUAUUCGUGGAGGAGAAGGAGGAGGAAGAGGAGGAGGAGGAGGAGGAGGAGGAGGAGGAGGAGGAGGAGGAGGAGGGGACCAGAGCCAGUAACAAUAAUCAAAUCUAAUUAUUAUUUUUUUUUUUCAUAAUUAAUAAAAAAAUCUAAUGUUUGUUUUUUGUUUGUUUUCUUUUGUGUGUGUGUAGAGAGAGAGAGAGAGAGAGAGAGAGAGAGAGAGAGAGAGAGAGAGAGAGAGAGAGAGAGAGAGAGAGAGAGAGAGGGGGGGGUAGGGGAGGAAGGAUUUUCAUAACAAACUUUCUAAUUUAAUUCUUUGCUUUUAAUUUUCUUUCAUUAAAUUUUUUUUUUUUUUUUGCUUAUUAACACCGAAAAUCAUCAUAAUUGUUGUUGUUGUUGUUGUUGUUGUUGUUGUUGUUGUUGUUGUUGUUGUUGACCUUAAAUUUUCUUGUUCUUCUUUUUUGUUCCUUUCUUCCUUUUCUUCAAUUUUGCUGUUGUUGUUGUUGUUGUUGUUGUUGUUGUUGUUGUUGUUGUUGUUGUUGUUGUUGUUGUUGUUAUUAUUAUUAUUAUAGUUAUUGUUGCUAUUGUUGUUGUUGUUGCUGUUGUUGUUUUAAUUGUUGUUGUUGUUGUUGUUGUUGCUGUU